ACAUACUCCCCCUUUUGUAUAAUGGCAAACCGCGACACAAUCUUUCAUAUAUCGCGUACUUUGAUAGACAUCCUCCCCUUGAUUUUAUGCAUUUCUUUGGAAAAAAAUCUGCUAUCAUAAUCAUAAGUUGUGUUUCCAUUGCUUCUCCCCCUUUGACAACAUCAAAAAGAGACAAGGACGAGGUCAAUCGAAAUCAAAAUGUAUUCAUAAGCAC
This 214-nucleotide long non-coding RNA is filed under the name Lathyrus oleraceus (garden pea). Its description in RNAcentral is "Pisum sativum (pea) long non-coding RNA (PSAT_LNC001906)". The record is from RNAcentral. Lineage: Eukaryota; Viridiplantae; Streptophyta; Magnoliopsida; Fabales; Fabaceae.